GACGAACGCUGGCGGCGUGCUUAACACAUGCCAGUCGAACGGAAAGGCCCUGCUUUUGUGGGGUGCUCGAGUGGCGAACGGGUGAGUAACACGUAAGUAACCUGCCCUUGACUUUGGGAUAACUUCAGGAAACUGGGGCUAAUACCGGAUAGGAGCUCCUGCUGCAUGGUGGGGGUUGGAAAGUUUCGGCGGUUGGGGAUGGACUCGCGGCUUAUCAGCUUGUUGGGGGGAUAGUGGCUUACCAAGGCUUUGACGGGUAGCCGGCCUGAGAGGGUGACCGGCCACAUUGGGACUGAGAUACGGCCCAGACUCCUACGGGAGGCAGCAGUGGGGAAUAUUGCACAAUGGGCGGAAGCCUGAUGCAGCAACGCCGCGUGCGGGAUGACGGCCUUCGGGUUGUAAACCGCUUUCGCCUGUGACGAAGCGUGAGUGACGGUAAUGGGUAAAGAAGCACCGGCUAACUACGUG
Molecule: ribosomal RNA, 468 nt
Filed under: uncultured bacterium
Lineage: Bacteria
Description: partial 16S ribosomal RNA
Rfam family: Bacterial small subunit ribosomal RNA
Source: RNAcentral